UCGGCCAUAUCAUAUUGAAAUACCGAUGCUCCUAGAAUCACCGAAGUUAAGCAACGUCGAGCCUUGUCAGUGCUUAGAUUGGUGACCGUUUGGGAAUAUCAGGUGCCGUG
This is a non-coding RNA of Acanthosepion pharaonis, 110 nucleotides long. The record is from the annotation of a GenBank genome assembly. Lineage: Eukaryota; Metazoa; Mollusca; Cephalopoda; Sepiida; Sepiidae.